GCCGUCGUAGCUCAGUGGGAGAGCAAGGCCCUGUCGAGGCCGAGGUCGCCGGUUCGAACCCGGUCGACGGUG
RNAcentral lists this transfer RNA (72 nucleotides) under Dactylosporangium vinaceum subsp. matsuzakiense. Its description in RNAcentral is "Dactylosporangium matsuzakiense tRNA". It matches the Rfam family "tRNA". From Rfam's summary of the family: Transfer RNA (tRNA) molecules are approximately 80 nucleotides in length. Their secondary structure includes four short double-helical elements and three loops (D, anti-codon, and T loops). The record is from Rfam by way of RNAcentral. Lineage: Bacteria; Bacillati; Actinomycetota; Actinomycetes; Micromonosporales; Micromonosporaceae. RNAcentral also lists the same sequence under 1 other name.